Molecule: long non-coding RNA, 1463 nt
Organism: Myotis myotis
Lineage: Eukaryota; Metazoa; Chordata; Mammalia; Chiroptera; Vespertilionidae
Exons: 2
Source: RefSeq, a predicted model, not a curated record
AUCCUGCAAACAGGGCAGAAAGCAAGUUGAGUGGGUAGAUUUUAAAAAACGUUUUAUUUUCUUUAUUUGAUGGUGACAACAAAGACUUUACUACUUAAACCUGAAGUUACUGGUGACCCUUCUCUCCAGGCAGAGUAACUAAAGACACAAAUCUGUAAAGAAACUAGAAGAGGCGUGAGCCAGGCUGCUGUGAGCCGGAGCGCAUACCUGCACUUCAGCUGGGCAGGGAAAGGGCUUGGCCGUGCCCUCUACGAUCACCAUGCCAAAACCGUCCAAGCCAAGGAGUCAAAUUGUCUCCAGAGGAGCAAACAUCCCAUACCAGCACUGUGGGAAACAGGGCUCUGCGGCUUUAAGUCUGUCAAUUUCUGGGGGGUAAUAUAGGGAAUACCAUUCAACUUUGAGGUCACAGCUUACCAAGUGUGAGGGUGAGUACUUGGGUUUGUAUUUACUGCUUAGCCAUUCUGUGUACUUCUCUAUAAUGCAUUCUUUCCUGCUUACUAUUCUGACUGUUUCAUCAGGGAUACACUUGCCUUUCCAAGCGUUCUGAAAGCAAAGGCCAGGAUAAUUAUUCUGUUACCGACAGUGCAUACCAGGUGCACCUAAUAAAUACUUGCUGACUUAUGUUUCCUCAUUAGAUCUGCUCAGCUCAGUGAAGGAUCGCUUUUACCUACUUCUCACUGACAUGGCUCCAAGGACUGUGGCUCAUUCUCUUCUCCGUGGAGCAAUCCUCACUACGUACACACUGUUUGUUUCCUUGGGCCGAGGCACCAGAAACAUCAGAGAGGCAUCUCUACCGUCAGUGAGAAUCGUCCUUUGGCAAAAAGGACUAGAAGCGAUGAACGAGAAAGACUUGAAAUCAGAAAGCAUUUACCUAAGUUUACUGCUCACCCAACUCAGGACUUCAAGAGCAACCAGUAUCAUACGGUUAUUAAAAGAUCAUUAGCACCUGGCUGCCACGGGUCAGGUUUCUGCAUUAAGGUAAGUUUCACUAGGGGCUGGCAGUGGCAUGCCUAUCAGGUACCUUAUAGGAAAGUUCAAAUUCCCUGUGGGCAAGAGUGGGGUUUCUGGCUACCCAUAGGAUGGUCAGGUGAUCGACAAUGUAACACAGCUUCUGGCUUGUCCUCGGUGAGAAGUCUCUGAACGCUCUGCAGCUCUAACCAGGGAAGCUGAGCCCCAGCGCUUCACCUUUCUAUGCUUCCCGUGAAGACAGUGACGAAGUGAAGCACGUGCUCCAGGGCGUCUGCGGACGUCUCCAACAUGUCAUCCGCAAAGCGGCGGAGGAAGAUGAGGAAAUCACCCAGGUUAUCUGCAAAAAAUUCUGGGAAAAAAGUCACUGGAAUUAGCCAAAUGCCUGACUUUCUGUACAUACAAAUUCUACACUGUAUUCAGUGAAGGUUAACAGAACCCAAAUGUCUUAUAGAUACUAGGAAUGGUGACAAGUUAAUAAAUGUAGAGUCUCCUUU